RNAcentral lists this unclassified non-coding RNA (5221 nucleotides) under Leishmania donovani. Its description in RNAcentral is "gene:LdHU3.30.2570(CDS-product:hypothetical_prote in_conserved)". Lineage: Eukaryota; Euglenozoa; Kinetoplastea; Trypanosomatida; Trypanosomatidae. The record is from RNAcentral.
GCACACCCGUACAGUUACGCGUACAGGCGAGCGUGGCAAAGUAGAUCAUAGAAAGGCAGUCAUUGAAGAUCGAGCCACUGACCGGCGUGUGCGUGCGUGCCUGCGGAUGAGGGCAACUCCAACUUGGGAGAGCGCACACACAGGCACGCGCACACGUAUCCAUAGAUACGCAAGUGGAGCAGCAGCUCGCGGCACCAUUGUGGCCGCCACCAUUCGCAGACAUCAGCAGACCUUCUAAGCAAGGCGCUACAGCACGCACCACUCGCACACGAGCAAUCAGUGAAAACAAAACCGAAGCACGGUGCCUUUGGCGGUUUCACUGCUUGCUAAUCAGAAGUGUCCUCAUUGAGCGCCAGCCCCAUGGCUGUUUCGCGCCAGUGCGUCCGCAUCUCGCUCUUUCAGUGCGCGCCGCUCUCCGAUACCAGCGUCCACCAAGCGCGUCGUGCAUCUCAGGCGGACGGGAAGCCUGAGGCCAAGCAGCCUCUGUUUCGCAGCCGCUCGGCCGACUACCGUGGUGAUGUGCUGAUCCCCUUGGCAUCCAUCGCUUCGUCGUCUCUGCAGUCGGUGGAUCAGAAAACGGAAACCGUGAAGCUCCACCAACUUCGUGACGGGCUUGAAGGCCGUUUAUCGACUUACUGUGUACUGCAUGUGCCGGCUUCUCGCACAAGGUCGUUUGUAGAGGAGCACCGGCUCAGUCCGUUGUCUGUGUCACUGACGCCGCCUGCUGCCGGGCCGAGCGCGCCAGAGGACGUGCAACUAAUCUUGGCCGCCGAUGAGGAGCAGAGCAGAAGCAGAUGUGAAGGGGCGCCGGUGUGCCUCCCCGGCGAGGCGCAGUUCCGCUGUUGCGCUAGCUGCUCCUCUUCGGUGGUCGCAGAGGCAGCGGCAAUCUCGAGCAAAGCCCCGACUGUACUAGGCGCCUCAUCUGCGCCGCCUGAAGCUGCGUCUAACACCACCUCUAACGCACCAUGGAUUUGCAUCAACCAAAUGCAGCGCAUGAUGGCUCGUAGCAGCGACGCGACUUCGCAGACGCUGUCGUCAUCAUCGCUGCAGUCAUGCUUCGCGCCUCCAGCGACUUCUCUACCCAUGCGGUCCGCAGAAGAGUGGAUGCUGCAGCAGCAUGAUUCCACCGAUGUGUUUCUCACCUCUUCCGAGGCUGAGUCUGUGGGUGCCGUGGAUGCAGAGGAUGAUGGCGCAGAAGGCGAGGUGGAGGGCGGGGCGUGCUACGCGGCCUUUUUCAGUCUGACGAUGCUUCCUGCCGCUGAGCGGGCAAAGCGCCUCAUGCUAAGCCUCGCGCGAUCGUCGGCGCCCGCAGCAGGAGCGACGACAUCCAAGUCUCCUACUGUAUUCACGGUGCGCACACACCACCACACGCUUCGCAUCGGUCUGCCACUGCGGACGUCGGUCGGUGAGGCUGAUCCAUCUAAGACGCUGCAGAGUCCACUGACCCUGCGCGAGGCCAUCAUAGACCGCUUACGCUUGCAGCGCCGCGUUCGCGUUGAGCGUCUCCUUGAUACUAAGACGGGGGCGGCUGUGCUGCCGUGCGAGAGUGCACCGACGCUUCUAGCUGCACAGGUUGUGUCGCUGGAGGUCGAAUGCAGAGCUUCUCUGGCUGCACGAAGCAAGCAGGAGGAAGGGCUCACGCAGCGACUGGCUCCUCGAUCGCCGUUGGAAGCGCAGCAACAGUCCUCUUCUACACCGACCAGUGCCAGAGCCGGUGGCCCAAGCACAGAGACUGCAUCCGACCUCUUGGACCACCUGGCCAGCCUUCGCGCGCACCAUCACGGUGAUCAAUACUACUACGAUGACAUCGAUGCCUACGGCUGGGCGGAGCGGCGUACGCUUAUCUCGCCAAGCGAGCUUGCGAGCGAGUCAGAGCUACGGCUGACCUUCACAGAUAGUCGAGGCCCCAGUCAGAUGCCGCGGUACUCCUCGACGCGUCCUUCAACGGCUUCGUCCGGUGCUGCAUCGUCUGUGGUGUCGCUGUUCGCAGACAGCAGCAAUUCUCACCGCGCGCAACGGCCGCAGGACGAUGGCCUAUGCGCUGUGCAGACAGGGCCACCUGACGGUGUAGGGGUCACCGGCAGCUCAGCAGGAACGGAGCUUCCCAUGAGCACGGAAAAUGGCACCAAUCUUCACGAGCAAUACCACAACCGAGGCAGCAAGGUUUCCGGUGACCAGUGCGGCUCCACAGUCUUCUCCUCCAUGAACGGAGAGGAGGCGACGGCGCCGCUGUCGCCCGUGCAGGGCAAACUCGUGGGGCUGCGCGACUCCCUGUGCGACAUGAACGACGUAUUCAUCUACGAGGAUGAGGAGACGGUUGUAGACGUCGAUGCUGUAGGCACCGAGGGCAGAGGUGAUGGGAUCAGCGGUAACCAGCGGCAGGAGCGGCGCAGCUCCCUGGUGUGGAGCACACCCGUCGCCCGCGGUUCCGGCGCGGGCAGGAUGCUGAGCGAUACAGGUUUCAGUGCAACGCCUUUGAUAUACCGGACGAGCGCACGGCUCUCCCUGUCACCCCCCACAUCACCGGUAGCCGUGCCCGGCAAAGCAGCGACGACCGUGAUGAACGAGCAACCCACGCAGCGGAUGAUCUUCGCGACCUCGCCUUCCUCCACUGCAUCGCUUUUCCGGUCGCUUCACAGCGGCACGUCUGUCGAGAACGAGGGGGUGACUGCAUUUGGCAGCGGUGAUGACGGCGACGUGACGAGCGCGGGCGAGGCGCACGACGGCGAUGUGGCAGAGCAAGGUGCGGGCGAUGCCAUACAUAAAUUCCUCAUGUCUGUGGUAAGAGCCUCCGCUGCAUCUCCAGCUUCCGCCUCCUCGGCGAUGUCAACCACCGACAGCAGCAUUGCCUCCGCUCCACACAGCAGUAACAUGAGCAGCAGCAGUCUUGCAAGAAGCGAUCAUCCAUCGACGCCGUCUUGCGAGGCGACACCGUCUGUGCGACGCGAGGGUGCGGCGGCCUCAAGCGGAGAAAUGCUAGUGGCACCACUGUCUCUCGUAGACAGCGCUUCGGCAUCUGCUUUGCCGUCGCCUUCCCCGCAUAAGACGGGGCAUGCAGCUGCACCAGCGCAUCCGGACGAGCAGACGACGCUCAUCGCGCCCUGCUCCACUCCGCCGCCGUCGAGACGCUGCACCUCUGAGCAUGAGUUUCGCAGCUACCUCCACAGCCUGAACCCUCUUGCCACCCAGAACGGCAGUGAGCGUGCAAGCCAAGGAGCGCCGCUGGUGGACGCCCAGAGAUCCACCGAUGGAUGGAAUGCCCAAAAUGGCGAGAAAGCGGUGUGUCACGGUCAUGAUGGUGGCAUCUCUAGCGAACGAAAGCGUGCGCGCGGGCGGGAGACGAUGGCCCUGGAUUCGACCGAUGCCCGUCCGAUGGCGGUGCUGAGGGGCGAAGGAGAACAUGCGGUGACAUUGUUCUCCUCCUCGACCUCUGCAGGUGGCAUCGAAGACGACCACUCCACCAAUAGCUCCAUCUCGACGCCGUCGACCACCGUCGCCAUCAGAGCUGUGCGCAUGCGCUCUCCGAUCAUCUUAUCACCAGGUGAGCUAAGCCGCAUGGCGCUCAACAUGGCCGCCUCCGACGCGAUCCAGAUACGGCCAUCUUACAUGAAGCACCCCUUGGCACGCACUGUGGAGCUCGAUCUCGACGACGCUUCCGAGGUCUCUGAGGACAUGCUCAGUCAUUACGACUAUGGCGGCUACAUUGCGUCGUACACGGCGCCCGGCAGCGACGGCCGGGAGGACCUCGACCGCGACGAUGGACGGGGCCACGGCUCCCGGCACUCCUCCACCUGUCGUUCUCACAUGGCGAGGCCGACACAGCACUGUCAAAGUAUGGUGUUGCAGCCCGUGUCGCAGUCGUCUUGUCGGCAGGGUGCUGCUCCGCUAGUUGCUGCGACGACCACAGAAGAAGCGACGACGACGAUGGAUCCUGCACACCACCUGGACGGCACAACGCGCCGUCGCUCUUUGUCGUUCCCCGCACCAGGCCUGGAAACGUGGAUCCGCCUCACCGACGAUGACAGCGGCGGCACGGAGAGUGGCGCAGACCACCACAUGCUGUUGACGCAGCGGGCGAUCCCUGCGCACACCACACGCAGUACCUCCUCUGCGGAGAGUGACGGAGGCGGCAGCGCAAGCGACGACGACAACAACGAGCGCGACGCCGAUCACACCUAGGUGCGGGCUUUGCGGCCCCCGCAGAUGCAGGUGGUUAAGAGGCAUGGCGAGAGAACGAAACGCUGGCGCUUCAUUUUGCUGCUUUGCAUGUUCUCGUCCUGAUGCCGGAGGACCACACCUCGGCGCAUCGUAUCCUCAGGGUCUAGUGCACCCCGACUCUGUGUGGGGAGGAAGCCAGGCGAGCCCCCUUAUCUCUGCCGAUGCCGAGCUACCUCUGGUGGUAACAUGGUCAAGUACUUAUGGCGUAGGGCGUGGUGAGAGUGGUGUAGCGCUGCUGAUAUUGGAGGUCAGGUCCUGGCUGACGUUGCGUCGGAGCGGCCUGCGGCAGCGAGCACGUUUGCACCACCCACAUGAUGGGCAGGGUGUCAGCGUGGCUUGAGCGUACCUCACCCGGCCCUCGCACUGCCCACUGAUGUGGGGAGCCUGCGCCACGGCGAGGGGGAUGCACCAGGGGUGGCGACCGGCAUGAUGUGAGCGGCUGUGAGGCGGCCUGUGGAGCGAGAGACGGCUAGAGCUUGAUGCAGAGGCCGUGUGCAGAUGACUGACUCGGUGCAUAGCUCUAAAGCAUGUGUCUAAGGCUGCUUCGCACGGUGCGACGGGCCUGUGGCAGGGCCGGGAGCCGAGUGGAGUGUGGCUCAUGCUCUGUGGUGGAGAAUGGACAUGAUGGGUGGAAAAAACAAAAUUUCUCUUCUCCCGCGUUAAGAAGCGCAUGACCGUUGUGCCAUCCAGUGCGGUGAGGCGAAGUAAUCGAGGAAGAAUGGACAUCGUGUGAUUCCCUGAUGGGGUGCGCCUGCUCCUGUGUAUGCGGCUGAAGCAAGUAGCGAGUGCACCUGAGAAUACCCCCCCUGUCGCGUAUUAAGCGUGCAAGUGACCCGCGGGGCCCAUCUAUGGCGCCGGUUCGAUGAGACAUGCAGGCCCGUUCUUCCGCCGCGGGAGAACGGUGGGGUGAGUCGUUGUAUUUGUUGAGGCGUCGUGAACUUCUCUCUCCACCUACUGUCUCCGUCUCUCUCUCUCUCCGUGAUUGUAUGCGUCCUCCUUCCAG